AUUGAACGCUGGCGGCAGGACUAACACAUGCAAGUCGAGCGGAGCGGCGGACGGGUGAGUAAUGCCUAGGAAUCUGCCUGGUCGUGGGUGAUACAGUCAGGAAACGGUCGCUAAUACCGCAUAAUCUCAUAUCAGCCUAGGUCGGAUGAGCUAGUUGGUGGGGUACAGGCCUACCAAGUCGACGAUCCUUAACUGGUCUGAGAGGAUGAUCAGUCACACUGGAAUGGAGACACGGUCCAGAGUCCUACGGGAGGCAGCAGUGGGGAAUAUUGGACAAUGGGCGAAAGCCUGAUGCAGCCAUGCCGCGUGUAUGAAGAAGGCCUUCGGGUUGUAAAGUACUUUCAGCGGGGAGGCGUUACCCGCAGAAGAAGCACCGGCUAACUUCGUGCCAGCAGCCGCGGUAAUAC
RNAcentral lists this ribosomal RNA (407 nucleotides) under uncultured bacterium. RNAcentral's name for it is "partial 16S ribosomal RNA". It matches the Rfam family "Bacterial small subunit ribosomal RNA", at positions 30 to 526 of the family's 1533-position model. The record is from RNAcentral.